Gallus gallus (chicken) is the source of this 836-nucleotide long non-coding RNA. The record is from Ensembl. Lineage: Eukaryota; Metazoa; Chordata; Aves; Galliformes; Phasianidae.
CUGAAUGGUUGCUGGUAACCAGCAGAAAGACCUCAGCUGGAGCCUGGGACUGCAACACGGAGGGUGCUCAAGAAACAAAAGAAGGGAGUUAUUCUUCACUGAGUGAGGGCUACAACAGCACAGACUCUGAGAAUGAAUCCAACGCAUCCCAGAGGAGGAAGGGGUUAUCACCAGGCCAGGCUGUGUCCCCAGUGCAGGCUGUAUUGCGGCUGCUCGGAGGAGACGUCACCUCGCCAGGACCCGAGCUGAUUAUCUUCCCUUGGAUGCUUCAAAUGAUCGUCAGCUUUCUCGGAGAAGAGAAGGCGGUGAUUCAGAGGAUGAGGACGAGCCUGAUAGGAAUCGUCUCCAUUUUGUUCCUAAAAAGAGAACUCUUAGGCGUAGGAUGGCUGAACGCGUGGGUGAGUUGGUGCCUUUUCUCCCAGAGAGAGGCUGUGUCUUUUACUGAUGGAUGUCCGGAAGAAUGUGAGACUUGCCCAGUGAAGAGUGCAGUACAAAGUUGUGCUCUUGGUCUUGACAAAAGACCAUAAUGCUUGGUGGUCCUUGAGGUUUACGUGGGAUGUUCCUGCUCUCCACACACUGACAUUACGACUGUUAUGGGAAAGAGGUAAAAACAAACCAACAAACAAAAAGCAACCAACCAGAGCCAGCCAGCCCUUUGGAAGUAAGCAGACUUACUGCAUGCCAAGCGUAUGUGGCUUUUCGGUUGCUCCUUAACUCAUCUUGCUGUUUGCAGUUUCACUUACAAAGCACUGGUUUGCCAGGCUUGUAGGCCAAUUGCUUUAUUAUUUGGAUAAUAGUUGUAAGUAAUAUGCAGGUAUGGUCCGACUCUAUUGUUG